RNAcentral lists this ribosomal RNA (252 nucleotides) under uncultured bacterium. Its description in RNAcentral is "partial 16S ribosomal RNA". It matches the Rfam family "Bacterial small subunit ribosomal RNA", at positions 524 to 776 of the family's 1533-position model. The record is from RNAcentral.
UACGGAGGGUGCAAGCGUUAUCCGGAUUCACUGGGUUUAAAGGGUGCGUAGGCGGGUAUAUAAGUCAGUGGUGAAAGCUCCGGGCUUAACUUGGAACUGCCAUUGAUACUGUAUAUCUUGAAUGUCGUUGAGGUUAGCGGAAUGUUGCAUGUAGCGGUGAAAUGCUUAGAUAUGUUACAGAACACCAAUUGUGAAGACAGCUAACUAAGCGAUGAUUGACGCUGAGGCACGAAAGCGUGGGGAGCAAACAGG